RNAcentral lists this ribosomal RNA (397 nucleotides) under uncultured bacterium. RNAcentral describes it as "partial 16S ribosomal RNA". It matches the Rfam family "Bacterial small subunit ribosomal RNA", at positions 523 to 918 of the family's 1533-position model. The record is from RNAcentral.
AUACGUAGGGGGCGAGCGUUGUCCGGAAUGAUUGGGCGUAAAGGGCGCGUAGGCGGCCCGGUAAGUCUGGAGUGAAAGUCCUGUUUUUAAGAUGGGAAUUGCUUUGGAUACUGUCGGGCUUGAGUGCUGGAGAGGUAAGUGGAAUUCCCAGUGUAGCGGUGACAUGCGUAGAGAUUGGGAGGAACACCAGUGGCGAAGGCGACUUACUGGACUGUAACUGACGCUGAGGCGCGAAAGUGUGGGGAGCAAACAGGAUUAGAUACCCUGGUAGUCCACACUGUAAACGAUGAAUGCUAGGUGUAGGGGGUAUCGACCCCUUCUGUGCCGCAGUUAACACAAUAAGCAUUCCACCUGGGGAGUACGGCCGCAAGGUUGAAACUCAAAGGAAUUGACGGGG